AUUGAACGCUGGCGGCAGGCCUAACACAUGCAAGUCGAGCGGAUGAAGGGAGCUUGCUCCUGGAUUCAGCGGCGGACGGGUGAGUAAUGCCUAGGAAUCUGCCUGGUAGUGGGGGAUAACGUCCGGAAACGGGCGCUAAUACCGCAUACGUCCUGAGGGAGAAAGUGGGGGAUCUUCGGACCUCACGCUAUCAGCUGAGACUAGGUCGGAUUAGCUAGUUGGUGGGGUAAAGGCCUACCAAGGCGACGAUCCGUAACUGGUCUGAGAGGAUGAUCAGUCACACUGGAACUGAGACACGGUCCAGACUCCUACGGGAGGCAGCAGUGGGGAAUAUUGGACAAUGGGCGAAAGCCUGAUCCAGCCAUGCCGCGUGUGGGAAGAAGGUCUUCGGAUUGUAAAGCACUUUAAGUUGGGAGGAAGGGCAGUAAGUUAAUACCUUGCUGUUUUGACGUUACCAACAGAAUAAGCACCGGCUAACUUCGUG
RNAcentral lists this ribosomal RNA (484 nucleotides) under uncultured bacterium. RNAcentral describes it as "partial 16S ribosomal RNA". It matches the Rfam family "Bacterial small subunit ribosomal RNA", at positions 30 to 507 of the family's 1533-position model. The record is from RNAcentral.